This 425-nucleotide long non-coding RNA is filed under the name Helianthus annuus (common sunflower). RNAcentral describes it as "hypothetical non coding rna". Lineage: Eukaryota; Viridiplantae; Streptophyta; Magnoliopsida; Asterales; Asteraceae. The record is from RNAcentral.
GUGGAUCGACCAGAGGAAGGGGAAAAGGGGAGUAAACCCUAAUUCACUCAAGAAUCAUCAAAUUGAAGAUCGAUUCAAGCCCGAAAUCAGCAAAUAAACAUAUAUUUGUGAUCACCUAAGCUAGGGGAUCAAAAGUUGGCGCUUGAACAAGCUAAGAAGAGCUAGGUGUGAAAGCGGGUCAAACGAGCCAAGCAUAAAGGAAAAGCGUAUUCGGGAUGCGAGGUGAUUGCCAAGUGUGCCUGGAUGAAGAUCAAGCUCGAAGAGGAACCGAACACUAUCAAUAUACAAACUUCCGCACGUUGUUACAUCGUCGUUUUUAAUUGACGAAUUUAUUUAUAUUACACUGUACAAAUAACCUUUGUAAAAUUUUUAAUAAACCCACAUUUCUGUACGAAUGUGUAAGAAUGAAUAUACAUUUAAUCGUU